CUACGGGAGGCUCCAGUCGGGGAUUUUUUGCAAUGCACGAAAGUGUGACAAAGCGAGCCAGAGUGUUUCUCUAUUUUGAGAAACUUUUGUUAGCUGUAAAAAGGCUGACGAAUAAGGACUGGGCAAGACUGGUGCCAGCCGCCGCGGUAAUCCCAGCGGUCCAAGUUGUAGCCAUUUUUAUUGGGUCUAAAACAUCCGUAGCUUGUGAUGUAAGUCUCUUGUGAAAUUUAAUCUCUCAAAGAUUAAGCGGGCAAGGGAUACUGCAUUGCUAGAGACUGGAGGAUGUGAAGAGUACGGUUAAGGUAGUGGUAAAAUACGUUGAUCUUAAUUGGACUAACAAUAGCGAAGGCACUUCACAAUUACAGUUCUGACAGUGAGGGAUGAAGGCUAGGGGCGCAAAACGGAUUAGAUACCCGCGUAGUC
RNAcentral lists this ribosomal RNA (423 nucleotides) under uncultured archaeon. RNAcentral's name for it is "partial 16S ribosomal RNA". It matches the Rfam family "Archaeal small subunit ribosomal RNA", at positions 323 to 746 of the family's 1478-position model. The record is from RNAcentral.